AUUGAACGCUGGCGGCAGGCCUAACACAUGCAAGUCGAGCGGAUGAAGGGAGCUUGCUCCUGGAUUCAGCGGCGGACGGGUGAGUAAUGCCUAGGAAUCUGCCUGGUAGUGGGGGAUAACGUCCGGAAACGGGCGCUAAUACCGCAUACGUCCUGAGGGAGAAAGUGGGGGAUCUUCGGACCUCACGCUAUCAGAUGAGCCUAGGUCGGAUUAGCUAGUUGGUGGGGUAAAGGCCUACCAAGGCGACGAUCCGUAACUGGUCUGAGAGGAUGAUCAGUCACACUGGAACUGAGACACGGUCCAGACUCCUACGGGAGGCAGCAGUGGGGAAUAUUGGACAAUGGGCGAAAGCCUGAUCCAGCCAUGCCGCAUGUGUGAAGAAGGUCUUCGGAUUGUAAAGCACUUUAAGUUGGGAGGAAGGGCAGUAAGUUAAUACCUUGCUGUUCUGACGUUACCAACAGAAUAAGCACCGGCUAACUUCGUG
RNAcentral lists this ribosomal RNA (484 nucleotides) under uncultured bacterium. RNAcentral describes it as "partial 16S ribosomal RNA". It matches the Rfam family "Bacterial small subunit ribosomal RNA", at positions 30 to 507 of the family's 1533-position model. The record is from RNAcentral.